This 367-nucleotide long non-coding RNA is filed under the name Fukomys damarensis (Damara mole-rat). Its description in RNAcentral is "lncRNA (ENSFDAG00000026460.1)". Lineage: Eukaryota; Metazoa; Chordata; Mammalia; Rodentia; Bathyergidae. The record is from RNAcentral.
UCCGUCAUAAGCUGCAGAGGUUUUGAGGUCGGCUGUUUCUUGAGUAAAGAAUUCUGUCGCGAGCCGGCGACGCAGAGCACUGUCCCGCAGUGCCUCAAACCUGAAAGAGCAGCGGGGUAGAGAUGGGGCAGAGAGAAAGGAAGGACGCGGAGACAAGAGUCUGAUCAAGGCGACGUUUAUUGCAGGCAGGCAUCAGCCUUUUAAAGGAAAAGACCGAACUAUUAUGGGCUAGGAUUACCAUAGUAACCUCAACACCUGCUCCAGGGGAACGAGGGCAAGAGAAAGCAGGCUCAAGAAAAACAAAUUAACAACACUUGCAACUAAUAAUCAUGAUUCCCACAAUAGGUGGAGGAACUUAACAAAAUGG